RNAcentral lists this ribosomal RNA (484 nucleotides) under uncultured euryarchaeote. Its description in RNAcentral is "bacterial SSU rRNA". It matches the Rfam family "Archaeal small subunit ribosomal RNA", at positions 399 to 881 of the family's 1478-position model. Lineage: Archaea; Methanobacteriati; Methanobacteriota. The record is from RNAcentral.
AGUCCUCGCUUUUCACCACCGUAAGGUGGUGGUGGAAUAAGUGCUGGGCAAGACCGGUGCCAGCCGCCGCGGUAAUACCGGCAGCACGAGUGAUGACCGCUAUUAUUGGGCCUAAAGCGUCCGUAGCUGGCCACGCAAGUCUAUCGGGAAAUCUGCGCGCUUAACGCGCAGGCGUCCGGUGGAAACUGCGUGGCUUGGGACCGGAAGACCAGAGGGGUACGUCCGGGGUAGGAGUGAAAUCCCGUAAUCCUGGACGGACCACCGGUGGCGAAAGCGCCUCUGGAAGACGGAUCCGACGGUGAGGGACGAAAGCUCGGGUCACGAACCGGAUUAGAUACCCGGGUAGUCCGAGCUGUAAACGAUGCCCGCUAAGUUUGGUACAGGCCACGAGCCUGUGCUGAGCUGUAGGGAAGCCGAGAAGCGGACCGCCUGGGAAGUACGUCUGCAAGGAUGAAACUUAAAGGAAUUGGCGGGGGGAGCACAA